UGUGAGCUCGAUGAGUAGGGCGGGACACGUGGUAUCCUGUCUGAAUAUGGGGGGACCAUCCUCCAAGGCUAAAUACUCCUGACUGACCGAUAGUGAACCAGUACCGUGAGGGAAAGGCGAAAAGAACCCCGGCGAGGGGAGUGAAAAAGAACCUGAAACCGUGUACGUACAAGCAGUGGGAGCCUCUUUAUGGGGUGACUGCGUACCUUUUGUAUAAUGGGUCAGCGACUUAUAUUCUGUAGCAAGGUUAACCGAAUAGGGGAGCCGAAGGGAAACCGAGUCUUAACUGGGCGUUAAGUUGCAGGGUAUAGACCCGAAACCCGGUGAUCUAGCCAUGGGCAGGUUGAAGGUUGGGUAACACUAACUGGAGGACCGAACCGACUAAUGUUGAAAAAUUAGCGGAUGACUUGUGGCUGGGGGUGAAAGGCCAAUCAAACCGGGAGAUAGCUGGUUCUCCCCGAAAGCUAUUUAGGUAGCGCCUCGUGAAUUCAUCUCCGGGGGUAGAGCACUGUUUCGGCAAGGGGGUCAUCCCGACUUACCAACCCGAUGCAAACUGCGAAUACCGGAGAAUGUUAUCACGGGAGACACACGGCGGGUGCUAACGUCCGUCGUGAAGAGGGAAACAACCCAGACCGCCAGCUAAGGUCCCAAAGUCAUGGUUAAGUGGGAAACGAUGUGGGAAGGCCCAGACAGCCAGGAUGUUGGCUUAGAAGCAGCCAUCAUUUAAAGAAAGCGUAAUAGCUCACUGGUCGAGUCGGCCUGCGCGGAAGAUGUAACGGGGCUAAACCAUGCACCGAAGCUGCGGCAGCGACACUGUGUGUUGUUGGGUAGGGGAGCGUUCUGUAAGCCUGUGAAGGUGUACUGUGAGGUAUGCUGGAGGUAUCAGAAGUGCGAAUGCUGACAUAAGUAACGAUAAAGCGGGUGAAAAGCCCGCUCGCCGGAAGACCAAGGGUUCCUGUCCAACGUUAAUCGGGGCAGGGUGAGUCGACCCCUAAGGCGAGGCCGAAAGGCGUAGUCGAUGGGAAACAGGUUAAUAUUCCUGUACUUGGUGUUACUGCGAAGGGGGGACGGAGAAGGCUAUGUUGGCCGGGCGACGGUUGUCCCGGUUUAAGCGUGUAGGCUGGUUUUCCAGGCAAAUCCGGAAAAUCAAGGCUGAGGCGUGAUGACGAGGCACUACGGUGCUGAAGCAACAAAUGCCCUGCUUCCAGGAAAAGCCUCUAAGCAUCAGGUAACAUCAAAUCGUACCCCAAACCGACACAGGUGGUCAGGUAGAGAAUACCAAGGCGCUUGAGAGAACUCGGGUGAAGGAACUAGGCAAAAUGGUGCCGUAACUUCGGGAGAAGGCACGCUGAUAUGUAGGUGAAGCGACUUGCUCGUGGAGCUGAAAUCAGUCGAAGAUACCAGCUGGCUGCAACUGUUUAUUAAAAACACAGCACUGUGCAAACACGAAAGUGGACGUAUACGGUGUGACGCCUGCCCGGUGCCGGAAGGUUAAUUGAUGGGGUUAGCGCAAGCGAAGCUCUUGAUCGAAGCCCCGGUAAACGGCGGCCGUAACUAUAACGGUCCUAAGGUAGCGAAAUUCCUUGUCGGGUAAGUUCCGACCUGCACGAAUGGCGUAAUGAUGGCCAGGCUGUCUCCACCCGAGACUCAGUGAAAUUGAACUCGCUGUGAAGAUGCAGUGUACCCGCGGCAAGACGGAAAGACCCCGUGAACCUUUACUAUAGCUUGACACUGAACAUUGAGCCUUGAUGUGUAGGAUAGGUGGGAGGCUUUGAAGUGUGGACGCCAGUCUGCAUGGAGCCGACCUUGAAAUACCACCCUUUAAUGUUUGAUGUUCUAACGUUGACCCGUGAUCCGGGUUGCGGACAGUGUCUGGUGGGUAGUUUGACUGGGGCGGUCUCCUCCUAAAGAGUAACGGAGGAGCACGAAGGUUGGCUAAUCCUGGUCGGACAUCAGGAGGUUAGUGCAAUGGCAUAAGCCAGCUUGACUGCGAGCGUGACGGCGCGAGCAGGUGCGAAAGCAGGUCAUAGUGAUCCGGUGGUUCUGAAUGGAAGGGCCAUCGCUCAACGGAUAAAAGGUACUCCGGGGAUAACAGGCUGAUACCGCCCAAGAGUUCAUAUCGACGGCGGUGUUUGGCACCUCGAUGUCGGCUCAUCACAUCCUGGGGCUGAAGUAGGUCCCAAGGGUAUGGCUGUUCGCCAUUUAAAGUGGUACGCGAGCUGGGUUUAGAACGUCGUGAGACAGUUCGGUCCCUAUCUGCCGUGGGCGCUGGAGAAUUGAGGGGGGCUGCUCCUAGUACGAGAGGACCGGAGUGGACGCAUCACUGGUGUUCGGGUUGUCAUGCCAAUGGCACUGCCCGGUAGCUAAAUGCGGAAGAGAUAAGUGCUGAAAGCAUCUAAGCACGAAACUUGCCCCGAGAUGAGUUCUCCCUGACUCCUUGAGAGUCCUGAAGGAACGUUGAAGACGACGACGUUGAUAGGCCGGGUGUGUAAGCGCAGCGAUGCGUUGAGCUAACCGGUACUAAUGAACCGUGAGGCUUAACCUU
Molecule: ribosomal RNA, 2545 nt
Filed under: Escherichia coli
Lineage: Bacteria; Pseudomonadati; Pseudomonadota; Gammaproteobacteria; Enterobacterales; Enterobacteriaceae
Description: partial 23S ribosomal RNA
Rfam family: Bacterial large subunit ribosomal RNA
Source: RNAcentral